GAGUUUGAUCGUGGCUCAGAACGAACGCUGGCGGCAUGCCUAACACAUGCAAGUCGAACGCCUGCAGCAAUGCAGGAGUGGCGCACGGGUGAGUAACGCGUGGGAACCUGCCUAGUGGUAAGGAAUAACCGCGGGAAACUGCGGCUAAUACCUUAUGAGCCCUACGGGGGAAAGAUUUAUCGCCAUUAGAGGGGCCCGCGUCCGAUUAGCUAGUUGGUGAGGUAACGGCUCACCAAGGCGACGAUCGGUAGCUGGUCUGAGAGGAUGAUCAGCCACACUGGGACUGAGACACGGCCCAGACUCCUACGGGAGGCAGCAGUGGGGAGUAUUGGACAAUGGGGGCAACCCUGAUCCAGCAAUGCCGCGUGAGUGAUGAAGGCCUUAGGGUUGUAAAGCUCUUUUGUCCGGAACGAAACGGGUCGCGUGAAUAUCGCGGCCUAAUGACGGUACCGGAAGAAUAAGCACCGGCUAACUACGUGCCAGCCGCCGCAGUAAG
This 496-nucleotide ribosomal RNA is filed under the name uncultured Alphaproteobacteria bacterium. RNAcentral's name for it is "partial 16S ribosomal RNA". It matches the Rfam family "Bacterial small subunit ribosomal RNA", at positions 9 to 524 of the family's 1533-position model. Lineage: Bacteria; Pseudomonadati; Pseudomonadota; Alphaproteobacteria. The record is from RNAcentral.